AUUAAAGUAGUACAUUUAGAAUUUGAAUGAAUUAUUUCUCUGCUAUUUUCACACUUUACAAAGUCAUCCAGGGGGUCUGAUUGGACCCUUUGGUGGGCCGGUUCUGGCCCACGGGCCAUAUGUUUAACACCCCUGAAGUAGAGUCAUGAAGGUCUA
Long non-coding RNA from Etheostoma cragini (Arkansas darter), 156 nucleotides. RefSeq lists it as uncharacterized. The transcript has 3 exons. The record is from RefSeq and is a predicted model, not a curated record. Lineage: Eukaryota; Metazoa; Chordata; Actinopteri; Perciformes; Percidae.